UUAUAAGCCGCUAGCAGGAAGUAGCCAGGAGACAGGACAUGAGAUCGAUGACAUUUCUGCUCAAAAGCAGACUUCCAGCGCCAUGAAGAUGUGUUUGACUGUAGAAACUGGGUUGAGGCCAGGAUUCUCUUUUUGAUGGCCAACUAAAGAAAAGAAUCACCAAGUCCAAGGAUCAAGUUUGGAAGAUUCCAGCCAGGAAGCUGAGCACCAACUGCUCUGUCUGGGCAGGUAGGAGGCUCUCAAGCCAACCUUUUACAAUUCUCACCUUUACCUGCAGCACAUGGACUGUACUGCCAUCCUUUUCCCCCCCAAAAAAACAAAUAUAUCUGCUGUCCAUCACUAGUUCUCUAAUACAGGCUGUCAAUCAAACUACAAUUCUAGCUCUGCCUCUCUAUGAGUUGAAACUAGUCUUCUGUUCCUAGCCCAUAACACCACAUAUAUAUAUAUGUUUAGUGCAUUGAUUUGUAGCACGUAUAGCUUACAUACAGGUGACAGGAAGUGGAGGAGAAUAAAGUGUAAAGGUGACAGGAAGUGGAGGAGAAUAAAUGUGUAAAGGUGACAGGAAGUGGAGGAGAAUAAAUGUGUGCCAUGUUUGUUUUGGUGUGUGAGUGAGCAGCAAACACCAGGAAGUAGGGAAGGAAGGAAGAAAGGAAGGAAAGAAGGAGGGAAGGGGGGAAGAAAGGAAGGAAGGAGUGAAGGAAGAAAAGGGAAGGAG
Molecule: long non-coding RNA, 715 nt
Organism: Nerophis ophidion (straightnose pipefish)
Lineage: Eukaryota; Metazoa; Chordata; Actinopteri; Syngnathiformes; Syngnathidae
Exons: 3
Source: RefSeq, a predicted model, not a curated record